CGGACCCUACGGGGGGCAGCAGUAGGGAAUCUUCGGCAAUGGGGGCAACCCUGACCGAGCAACGCCGCGUGAGUGAAGAAGGUUUUCGGAUCGUAAAGCUCUGUUGUAAGGCAAGAACGGGUGUGAGAGUGGAAAGUUCACACUUUGACGGUAGCUUACCAGAAAGGGACGGCUAACUACGUGCCAGCAGCCGCGGUAAUACGUAGGUCCCGAGCGUUAUCCGGAUUUAUUGGGCGUAAAGCGAGCGCCGGCGGUUUGAUAAGUCUGAAGGUAAAGGCUGUG
This 282-nucleotide ribosomal RNA is filed under the name uncultured bacterium. Its description in RNAcentral is "partial 16S ribosomal RNA". It matches the Rfam family "Bacterial small subunit ribosomal RNA", at positions 332 to 606 of the family's 1533-position model. The record is from RNAcentral.